AAGCAUUCAAGAUUCAUUGCUUAUAACAGGCAGAAGAGCUUUCCAAUCUGCCUGUGAAAUCAGGUGAACAAAAUCCCUCACCGGAGCCUCGGUGGGAAAACAGAUGCUGCAUUUUGGGCCAUGCUUUCCCCAGGAAAGAAUCUUCCUGCUUGUAAAACACACAGUCACCGCCACUAACCACAUUUGCCAGGCGUUUCGUUCCAUUUCAUGUGGGCAUAGCAGAAGCAUUCUCUCUCUUGACCGGUCCUCAUCUCUGCUUCUCCUGCAGGAAUCAAGGAUUUCGAGCUACUGUGAAGAUUCGAGGAGGUUUUGAAAAGUCUGGUUCUUACACGAGAGAGAGAGAGAGAGAGAGAGAAGAAAAAAUCCACUUUCACACAGGGCACUGUCACCUUUUCCUUGUGC
Long non-coding RNA from Varanus komodoensis (Komodo dragon), 402 nucleotides. RefSeq lists it as uncharacterized. Lineage: Eukaryota; Metazoa; Chordata; Lepidosauria; Squamata; Varanidae. The record is from RefSeq and is a predicted model, not a curated record. The transcript has 3 exons.